Molecule: non-coding RNA, 28 nt
Filed under: Bombyx mori (domestic silkworm)
Lineage: Eukaryota; Metazoa; Arthropoda; Insecta; Lepidoptera; Bombycidae
Source: RNAcentral
UAAGUAUGUAGUUAUAUACAACAGGUAA